This 253-nucleotide ribosomal RNA is filed under the name uncultured bacterium. Its description in RNAcentral is "partial 16S ribosomal RNA". It matches the Rfam family "Bacterial small subunit ribosomal RNA", at positions 524 to 776 of the family's 1533-position model. The record is from RNAcentral.
UACGUAGGGACCGAGCGUUGUCCGGAUUCAUUGGGCGUAAAGAGCUCGUAGGCGGCUGCUCAAGUCGAAUGUGAAACCUCGAGGCUUAACCUCGAGCCUGCAUUCGAUACUGGGCGGCUAGAGUCUGGUAGGGGGAUCUGGAAUUCCUGGAGUAGCGGUAAAAUGCGUAGAUCUCGGGAGGAACACCAAUGGCGAAGGCAGCUUCUUGGUCCAUAUCUGACGUUGAGACACGAAAGCGUGGGGAGCAAACAGG